CUAUGCAUUUUUUCAUACGCGUUCGUUGGGUCAGUUAUCCUUUGUCAUUUCACCCUUGUCUUGUAUUCCAGGUUUUGGAAACAUUGGUCCAGUUUGGAGCUCCAAAGAAAAUUUUGGUUGAUGGAAAACCUCAUCUAGGAACUGAUAAAUUGGUACCACUUCUUCAAAAUUUCCGGCGGUACCUGGAAGAGCUGGGUGAUUACACUCAUUGGCAAGGAAAAGUAUGCCUUAGAGCCUUGAUGAAAUACUAAAGCGCACACAAAGCGAGGGGAAGCACUCAACAUGUUUUGAGCCUCGCUUCAGGGCUUAAACGCGCUUUAAGCGCGCCUUUGACAACACUGGAGCAUCUUUGGCUCUGGAUAUAUGCUCACAUCCUGGUGUCAUUGGAGGGAUGUGUAUAAGGUGUGGGCAGAAGGUGGAAAACGAAUCGGGUGUGGCUUUGGGAUACAUACACAAGAAUUUGAGGCUUGCAGAUGAUGAAAUUGCUCGAUUGGGUGACAAGGACCUGAAGAACUUAUUACGCCAUAAAAAGCUGUACUUGGUUCUUGAUUUAGACCACACACUUCUGAACUCAGCUAGACUUGCUGAUAUUUCAGCAGAAGAAUUAUACUUGAAGGACCAACGAGAAGUACUACCUGGUAUGCUACUCUUACUGGUUAUGUGCUAGAGGCUUAUAAUUUCGAUGCUUAUAUCUUGCUCUUGAAAGUGAUGAAAAUCUGUUUUACUUGCACAAGGAAGCUAGGGAAGCAAACUAAGAAAAUUUGUCCAACAGGUUAUCCGUACUGCCUAGGUCUCCUAGCCUGAAAUCUGUUAGAGAUAUUGGUAGUUGGAGGGAAACCUGCAUCUCUACGAUGUAGCUUGAAUGGGAUUUUAUGGUGUAUAUAUGUUAUGUGACUACUAGUUUAAUGAACUAGAUAGGGAAGGAAGCUAUACAGAAAUACGAGGUAAUGUGCACUACGUAGUUAAGAAAAUCUGUGUUAUUGGCAUUACUAGUUGUACCUCUGAUCAGAUUUACUGUGCUAAUUUCUGUCAUCUGUCCUCAA
This is a non-coding RNA of Nicotiana tabacum (common tobacco), 1043 nucleotides long. Lineage: Eukaryota; Viridiplantae; Streptophyta; Magnoliopsida; Solanales; Solanaceae. The record is from RefSeq and is a predicted model, not a curated record.